CUCAAAUUUGAAAUCUGGCCUCUUCGGGGUCCGAGUUGUAAUUUGUAGAGGGUGUUUCGGGCGCGAUGCCGGUCUAAGUUCCUUGGAACAGGACGUCGCAGAGGGUGAGAAUCCCGUACGCGACCGGCGAUCAAGCCCGUGUGAAGCCCCUUCGACGAGUCGAGUUGUUUGGGAAUGCAGCUCAAAAUGGGUGGUAAAUUUCAUCUAAAGCUAAAUAUUGGCCAGAGACCGAUAGCGGACAAGUAGAGUGAUCGAAAGAUGAAAAGCACUUUGGAAAGAGAGUCAAACAGUACGUGAAAUUGUUGAAAGGGAAGCGCUUGCAAUCAGACCGGUCCGGAGGCGAUCAGCCGCUGCUCGUUCAGCGGUGCACUCGCCUGCGAUCCGGCCAGCAUCGGUUUGGGCGGUGGGAUAAAAGUCCCGGGAAUGUAGCUUCUCUCGGGGAGUCUUAUAGCCCGGGUCGCAAUGCCGCCCGCCCGGACCGAGGACCGCGCUUCGGCUAGGAUGCUGG
Molecule: ribosomal RNA, 508 nt
Filed under: Sticta corymbosa
Lineage: Eukaryota; Fungi; Ascomycota; Lecanoromycetes; Peltigerales; Lobariaceae
Description: partial 28S ribosomal RNA
Rfam family: Eukaryotic large subunit ribosomal RNA
Source: RNAcentral